UGGAACUGUGCAACCCACAGAUGGGAAGGUC
Molecule: non-coding RNA, 31 nt
Filed under: Homo sapiens (human)
Lineage: Eukaryota; Metazoa; Chordata; Mammalia; Primates; Hominidae
Source: RNAcentral